GUGGCUAUGGUAUAAUGGUUAUUACUUCGGCUUGUGGCGCCGACAAUUCGGGUUCAAUUCCCGAUAGCCACCCCA
RNAcentral lists this transfer RNA (75 nucleotides) under Candidatus Magasanikiibacteriota bacterium. Its description in RNAcentral is "tRNA-His". It matches the Rfam family "tRNA". From Rfam's summary of the family: Transfer RNA (tRNA) molecules are approximately 80 nucleotides in length. Their secondary structure includes four short double-helical elements and three loops (D, anti-codon, and T loops). Lineage: Bacteria; Candidatus Magasanikiibacteriota. The record is from RNAcentral. RNAcentral also lists the same sequence under 1 other name.